CGGGUCUUUGGGCCCAACCUCCCAUCCGUGUCUAUUGUACCCUGUUGCUUCGGCGGGCCCGCCGCUUGUCGGCCGCCGGGGGGGCGCCUCUGCCCCCCGGGCCCGUGCCCGCCGGAGACCCCAACACGAACACUGUCUGAAAGCGUGCAGUCUGAGUUGAUUGAAUGCAAUCAGUUAAAACUUUCAACAAUGGAUCUCUUGGUUCCGGCAUCGAUGAAGAACGCAGCGAAAUGCGAUAACUAAUGUGAAUUGCAGAAUUCAGUGAAUCAUCGAGUCUUUGAACGCACAUUGCGCCCCCUGGUAUUCCGGGGGGCAUGCCUGUCCGAGCGUCAUUGCUGCCCUCAAGCCCGGCUUGUGUGUUGGGUCGCCGUCCCCCUCUCCGGGGGGACGGGCCCGAAAGGCAGCGGCGGCACCGCGUCCGAUCCUCGAGCGUAUGGGGCUUUGUCACAUGCUCUGUAGGAUUGGCCGGCGCCUGCCGACGUUUUCCAAACAUUCUUUCCAGGUUGACCUCGGAUCAGGUAGGGAUACCCGCUGAACUUAAGCAUAUCAC
Molecule: small RNA, 550 nt
Filed under: Aspergillus niger
Lineage: Eukaryota; Fungi; Ascomycota; Eurotiomycetes; Eurotiales; Aspergillaceae
Description: eukaryotic LSU rRNA
Rfam family: 5.8S ribosomal RNA (bases 179-332)
Source: RNAcentral